Molecule: transfer RNA, 71 nt
Filed under: Alligator sinensis (Chinese alligator)
Lineage: Eukaryota; Metazoa; Chordata; Crocodylia; Alligatoridae
Rfam family: tRNA
About the family: Transfer RNA (tRNA) molecules are approximately 80 nucleotides in length. Their secondary structure includes four short double-helical elements and three loops (D, anti-codon, and T loops).
Source: Rfam by way of RNAcentral
GCAUUGGUGGUUCAAGGGUACAAUUCCUGCUUCUCACGCAGGAGACCUGUGUUUAAUUCCCAGCCAAUGCA